Molecule: unclassified non-coding RNA, 315 nt
Filed under: air metagenome
Description: partial contains small subunit ribosomal RNA, internal transcribed spacer 1, and 5.8S ribosomal RNA
Rfam family: Eukaryotic small subunit ribosomal RNA (bases 1-46)
Source: RNAcentral
AAGUCGUAACAAGGUUUCCGUAGGUGAACCUGCGGAAGGAUCAUUUUUGAAUCACAGGCUGUUGCUGGCCCUCCUUGGAGGGUAUUGUGCACGCUUGUCAUAUUUAUUUCUCCAACUGUGCACAUACUGUAGACCUGGUGUCUUUGAAUAUAUUCAGAUUGAGGACUGAUGUGCUUCUGCUUUGGAGCCCAGCUUUGCCUUGCAGGUCUAUGUUUUUUUCUACAAACCCUAAAACUGUUUCAGAAUGUUGGAUCCAGGUCAUUUGUACCUAUAAAGUUAAAUAUACAACUUUCAGCAACGGAUCUCUUGGCUCUC